RNAcentral lists this non-coding RNA (191 nucleotides) under Paracoccus sp. (in: a-proteobacteria). The record is from RNAcentral. Lineage: Bacteria; Pseudomonadati; Pseudomonadota; Alphaproteobacteria; Rhodobacterales; Paracoccaceae. RNAcentral also lists the same sequence under 1 other name.
GCUUACUGAUGGGGUCAUGGUGAAUCCGGCCCCGGCCGGACGAAGAAGAGGGAAGCCGGUGAAAAUCCGGCACUGCCCCCGCAGCUGUAAGCGGCGAGCGACGCUGGAACACCACUGAGGCCCUGGCUUCGGGAAGGUCAGCCAAGCCGGGACCCGCAAGUCAGAAGACCUGCCAUGACACGAGAUGACGU